GACGAACGCUGGCGGCGUGCCUAAUACAUGCAAGUAGAACGCACAGUUUAUACCGUAGCUUGCUCCACCAUAGACUGUGAGUUGCGAACGGGUGAGUAACGCGUAGGUAACCUGCCUGGUAGCGGGGGAUAACUAUUGGAAACGAUAGCUAAUACCGCAUAAUAUUAAUUAUUGCAUGAUAAUUAAUUGAAAGGUGCAAUUGCACCACUACCAGAUGGACCUGCGUUGUAUUAGCUAGUAGGUGAGGUAACGGCUCACCUAGGCGACGAUACAUAGCCGACCUGAGAGGGUGAUCGGCCACACUGGGACCGAGACACGGCCCAGACUCCUACGGGAGGCAGCAGUAGGGAAUCUUCGGCAAUGGACGAAAGUCUGACCGAGCAACGCCGCGUGAGUGAAGAAGGUUUUCGGAUCGUAAAGCUCUGUUGUAAGAGAAGAACGGGUGUGGGAGUGGAAAGUUCACACUGUGACGGUAUCUUACCAGAAAGGGACGGCUAACUACGUG
RNAcentral lists this ribosomal RNA (505 nucleotides) under uncultured bacterium. RNAcentral's name for it is "partial 16S ribosomal RNA". It matches the Rfam family "Bacterial small subunit ribosomal RNA", at positions 28 to 507 of the family's 1533-position model. The record is from RNAcentral.